ACUAGCCAAAUGGAAAAGGCACUUGAUUUAGGUUCAAGAAUAUGUGGGUUCAAAUCCCAUGUGUGA
RNAcentral lists this transfer RNA (66 nucleotides) under Calothrix sp. CSU_2_0. Its description in RNAcentral is "tRNA-Leu". It matches the Rfam family "tRNA", at positions 6 to 65 of the family's 71-position model. Rfam says of the family: Transfer RNA (tRNA) molecules are approximately 80 nucleotides in length. Their secondary structure includes four short double-helical elements and three loops (D, anti-codon, and T loops). Lineage: Bacteria; Bacillati; Cyanobacteriota; Cyanophyceae; Nostocales; Calotrichaceae. The record is from RNAcentral. RNAcentral also lists the same sequence under 1 other name.